CAAUACCGCGUGUGGGAGGAAGGCCCUUGGGUUGUAAACCWCUUUUAUCAGGGAAGAAGCUCUGACGGUACCUGAUGAAUAAGCAUCGGCUAACUCCGUGCCAGCAGCCGCGGUAAUACGGAGGAUGCAAGCGUUAUCCGGAAUCAUUGGGCGUAAAGCGUCCGUAGGUGGUUUGUCAAGUCUGUCGUCAAAGAAUGGAGCUUAACUCCAUAAAGGCGGUGGAAACUGAGAGACUAGAGUUCGGUAGGGGUAGCGGGAAUUCCCAGUGUAGCGGUGAAAUGCGUAGAUAU
RNAcentral lists this ribosomal RNA (290 nucleotides) under uncultured bacterium. RNAcentral's name for it is "partial 16S ribosomal RNA". It matches the Rfam family "Bacterial small subunit ribosomal RNA", at positions 392 to 697 of the family's 1533-position model. The record is from RNAcentral.